GGAGUUGUGGCUCAGUGGUAGAGAGCACGCUUGCCUGGCAUGCAUGAGACCCUGGGUUGGAUCCACAGCACUGCA
RNAcentral lists this transfer RNA (75 nucleotides) under Marmota monax (woodchuck). RNAcentral's name for it is "tRNA.Ala". The record is from RNAcentral. Lineage: Eukaryota; Metazoa; Chordata; Mammalia; Rodentia; Sciuridae.